UGAUACUUGACUGACCACAUAAACUGCAGACAUUAUUAUGGUAUCACUAAAUGGUAUGUGGAUUCAUAUUUUUUUUCAUAUUUUUACUUAUUUCGCUUCCAAGUUAGUCCAAUAGUCGAACACGAAGUCGACACGCAUGAUCCACCAACCAAGGGAUGUCCAAGUAGUGGGCAGCCUGAAACGACAAUAUGAAACAUAUUUUGAGUCAAAGCUUUUCGUUCCCACUAUUAAAAAAAUUAUAUGUGUAUAUGAUGAUUCUAGACACCUAAACCGACACUAAUUCCUUAUAGUUCAAUUGUUCAUGCCUACGAUCAAACUUCUGCUUUUAAGAAGACCAUCUACAGCCUGAUAAGCUUAUAACACAAUUUAGUUACAUUGUAGGUGAUUGAUUUCAUACUUCACAAGCCUAGUUCAUAGUUCACAAUCCUAGGGCACUAUAAGCUAACCUAGUUCAAGAAAUUGCACCUAGGAGGUAAAAAACCCUAGUCGGCGGAAAACCCCCGCCUAGUUCUAGGCAGAUGGAAGGGGGAGUCGGAGCAUUUAAGCGAUAAGGAAUCGACAUGGAAGCGAAUUCAGCGCGAUCAAGGCAUUUCACCAUAUAAAAUAAAAUAAAAUUAUGUAUUGAAAGUUAAAACUCUAAUCCUAAUUUAGAUUUCUUUUGACUCUGCUCUCCUCUUCGCCUAGGCAUUUCACUGUGUUAUGUUUAUUGUAUUCUAUUUCAGAACAUGAACAUUGGUUAUCUUCAAUUUGAACGAUAAAUCUGUGCACUUAUGUGAAUUUAUAAAUUAUUAUGUUUGAUUUUAAUUAAUUAACCCUAAAUAUUGUAUUAUAUCUUUUUAACCCUUAAUCAAGCCUAGGCAACUACUAAUCGUGCUAGGCACUAGUCGGGAACUCACCACCUCAUUUAUACCUUGAGCCAUCUUGAACAUUAUGUAUCAGAAAAAUUCACAUAUAAGCAGAACACAAACAAAAUUCAUUCAAGAACCUGUAACAGAAUGCAGUAUAUUUACCAUUAGAAGCCUGUAAAAUGUGUUCCGGUUCACUACCUCCUCGAGACUAAAGUGGUCGGAGCGGGCAUAUCGUAUACAGUACUCGACCACCUUCUCGAGAGUGUGGUCGCUGAUAUUUUUUAAUGAGAGUCCCAACCAAAAUUGAUCAUACCCUUAAGCAGGCCGACUGCUUGGCCACAACUUUGUCCAUUAGAAACGACCGGUCGUCGUCGCUUUUCAAGGUGAUAAUUUCCGACCCAUAUGCUUUUGUUCCAAUUCGAUUCAUUCGAGUCCUUGAUAAACACUAUUCUGUAGAUUUUCACUGAUGGGAUCACGAAGAGAGCUUAAUAAGAAGAAAACGUGGCUGCUGCGUCUAGGGUUCUGUAAUGAUUUGGACUUAUUUAUUGCUUUUAAAUAGUUUAGUGGCUGAACUGUUAUUUCUACCUAAAGCGGUGUUUUGUAAUUGGGCAACAGUUUGCCGUUAUCCUUGUAGCAACGACUAGAAAAAGACACUCUGUCCCUGUACUCUUUUUAGCUGUGUGAAUUCCUAAGGACAAGCAUAUAUGAAAUUACCAAAAAAAUUCUACUUAUUCUCUCAAUCCUCUCUUCUCCUCUAAACCCUAAUCUUCUCUUCUUCUCUUCCGUCGUAGCUCCGGCUAGGAUCAUUACAACUGGUAUUAGAGCACCCUUGAAGAUCUCAUAUCCAGAAUGCUAAAGCUAAACCCCACCUUGAAUGAAGCCUAUUUCAUUAAAUAGCUUUAUAAGUGGGCUAGAUGAAGAAACCCCACCUUGCUUAUACCUGCAAGCAAGAAUGGAAGAGGCUACCAUGGAAGUAAGAAAGAAAAAGGUAAACCUAAAUGGCCUUCAGGAGAACCCUUUAGGAAACCUCUAGUGCACAGACCAGCACCACCAAACAACAGAGAAAACAAGGGGUUAUGUUACAAGUGUGGUGAUCGAUAUUUCUAUGGCCAUGUGUGCUCAAAGUGGAGAAUCAACACGUUAGAUGGUGACAUCUAAAUGGAGGAGGAAGAAGAAGAUGUAGAGGAUGAAGAACUAGAGAAAACAAGGGUUCUUACGCAGUUAGAAGGGGGAGCCAACCUGAACUUAGCCAAUAAGGUGAGAGGGAAAACGGGGAAACAUCCCCUACUCAUCUUGGUGGAUACUAGAGCAAGCCAUACAUUUUUUAUCCAGAAGUAUGCUGAGGAGCUACACCUUAAGAUGCAACCAGCAGUACCAAUGAGAGGAUUUGCAUGGACAAUGUAAGGGCAAAAAUUCAGCUUUGACAUCAGAUACUAGCUCUCAAGGAGAAUGAUUUGAUCCUAGGCUUUAAUUGGCUUAAAAAAGUCAGCGUUGUUGCAGAUGGACUUUGAGAGGUUGAACCUAGCAUUUGAAGGGGAAGGCAAGCCUAUGCUUUUACAGGGCAUCGAGGAAACAAGCCAGUGUAAAUCUAUAACUUGCAAGGCCAUAUACAAAGGCCUUAGGAAGGGAGAACUGGAUAGUAUGGAUGGAUUUUUACUGCAAACGAGUGAAGUACCAAAUGGAGCCAAAACAGAAGAAGUACAUGAACCUGUAUAGGCCAUCAUAGCCCAGUUAAGGAUGUGUUUGCAAAACCAACAACGAUGCCACCAGAGAGAUUAUUUGACCACCACAUCCCUUUGCAGCCAAAUGGCAAACCGGUGAAUUUGAGACCAUACAGGUACACUCCAGUCAGAAGGAUGAAAUAGAAAGGAUGGUGAAGCAAAUGAUGAAGGCAGGAUCAUACAGGAAAGCCAUAGCCCAUUUGCGUCUCCUGUGUUGCUGGUUAGGAAGAAGGACAAUACUUGGAGGUUCUGUAUUGAUUACAGACAACUCAACAGCCUAACCACUAAGGACAAGUUUCUCAUACCUCUUAUUGAGGACUUGCUAGAUGAGUUGAAUGGUUCUGCAUUCUUCACUAGACUGGAUCUUACGGCUGGAUACCACCAGAUACGGAUGCAGCCUGCAGAUCAACACAAAAUAGCUUUGAGAACCCAUCAUGGCCGUUAUGAGUUUAGGGUGAUGCCCUUUGGACUCACAAAUGCACCAACUACAUUCCAGUCACUGAUGAACCAAAUGCUGGCACCCUAUCUCAGGAGGUUUGUGUUGGUAUUCUAUGAUGACAUACUGGGUUACAGCUCAACCCUGGAAGCACACAAAGGAGGAUGUAGCCAAAACCCUGCAGAUCCUUAAAAGGCACCAGCUCUAUGCAAAACAGUCUAAGUGCCCCUUUGGUCAGCAACAAAUCAAGUACUUGGGGCAUGUUAUAUCAGGUGCAGGGGUAGCUACGGAUCAAGGCAAGAUUCGAACCAUGAAGGAUUGGCCAGUACCAAAGAACAUUAGGGGUCUCAGAGGGUUUUUGGGUCUUACAGGGUAUUACAGAAAGUUCAUAAGGAAUUAUGGGAUCAUUAGCAAACUUCUCACGGAGUUGCUCAAGAAAGACGAAUUUCAGAGGAGUGAAGCAGCCACCCAAGCAUUUGAAAGGCUCAAGUUAGCCAUGACUAAGGCGCUGGUUCUAGCACUUCUAAACUUCCAGCUACCAUUUAUCCUAGAAACGGAUGUGUCCGGGACUGGAAUAGGGCCAGUGCUACAACAGCAAGGGAGACCUAUUGCCUACUCGAGCCAGGCAUUGAGCCCUAGGAACCAAGGCUUAUCUAAAUACGAAAAGGAGUACAUGGCAGUGAUUUUUGCGUUAACAGGUGGAGACACUAUCUAGAACGAAGACCAUUCACAAUAGUGACUGACCACGAGAGUCUUAAGCCUCUAUUGGAGCAAAAGAUUCAUACCAACAUACAGAAGAAGGGAUUGGUGAAGCUGCUUGGACUAAAUUUCAAAAUCAAGUUCAGACAGGGGAAGGUUAUCAAGGUGGUAGAUGCUCUCUCAAGGAAAUAUGAAGAAGCUGAGUGUUCCAGCAUAGCAGCUACCUUACCAGAAUGGAUGUUAUGAACGUUGAGAGCGGCUAAGAAGGAGACCAAGGAAUCCAAGCCUUGAUAGUGGAGCAUACGGUGAACACAGGAGGACCAUCACUCUACUCCUACUCUGACGGCUUGCUGAAGUACAAAGGAAGAAUUGUAGUUGGGAGUAAAGGGGGCCUCAGGGACCAGCUGAUGGAGUUAUUCCAUGCCUCGCAAGUAGGGGGUCACUCAGGAGGACUAGCCACUUACAAAUGCAUCAAUGAAGAAAAUGAUAUUGGAGUGGGUGGCUAAAUGCCAGGUAUGCUAGCAAUGUAAGGCUGAAAACAUACCCUACACAGGGUUGCUUCAGCCACUUCUAGUUCCAGAACAAGCAUGGAAACAUAUAUCCAUGGACUUCAUAGAAGGGCUUCCAAAAUCAGAGAACAAGGAGACCAUAUUGGUAGUCAUAGAUAGAUUAACCAAGUAUGGUUCACUUCAUUGCUUUGAGUCACCCUUACAUAGCAGUGACAGUGGCUCAAGCCUUCAUGAUCAUAUCUUUAAAUUGGAUGGAAUGCCUUCCACAAUCAUAUCAGAUAGAGACACCAUCUUCACAAGUGCCUUGUGGAAGGAAUUGUUCAAACUACAAGGGGGCCAAGCUUCACUACUCAACAGCUUACUACCCCCAAACUGAUGGACAAAUUGAGAGAUUGAACAGAUGCCUAGAGGACUACCUAAGAUGCAUGAUCAUUGGCUCCCCAAAGAACUAGCAAAGUGGUGGUACAACACCAACUACCAUAACCGUAUGAAGAUCACACCCUUUGUGGCAUUGUAUGGUUACCCUCCGUCAGUGUUUGAUUCCAGGAUCCUCUACCUACCACAGUAGCAGCUGUGGAAGACAAGCUUCAACACCAGCACCAGACACUAGACCAACUCAGGGAUAGUUUGGCUAGAGCUCAGAACAGGUAGAAACAACAAGCUGAUAAACACCGUUCUGGGAGAAAUUGCAAGGUUAGGAAACAGGUUUGUUUGAAGUUGCACCCUUACAGGUAGAAAUCAAUAGCUCAACGCAACAAUCCGAAGCUGGUACCAAGAUUUUAUGGCCCUUUCACGAUACUGAAGAAGAUUGAAGAGACAGCUUAGGAGCUGCAACUGUCUGCCACUACAGCUAUACAUCCAGUUUUUCAUGUCUCAUUGUUGAAGAAAGCGGUUGGAAAUGCAGGUAUCCUCAAUCCUAACUUGCCUAAUCUGGAUGGUAGUGGAAUGAUGAAACAGUUGCAUGUGGCUAUACUAGCUAGAAUGUUCAUCAAUAAGGGAAAUCAGGCGGUGACUCAAGUUUUAGUUCAAUGGGCUCAUUAGAGUGAAGCAGGCGCCAGCUGGGAAGAUUGGCACCCCUUCAAGGACCAAUUUUCAGAAUUCAAGGACGCAUGAAACGUUUUGAGGCAAGAUGAAUUUUAGAGGAAAGGAUUGUAAUGAUUUAGACUUAUUUAUCGCUUUUAAAUAGUUUAGUGCCUAAAUCCCUAUUUCUACCUAAAGCGGUGUUUUGUAAUUGGACAACGAGUUGUCGUUAUCAUGUAGCAAAGGACACUCUGCCCUUACAGCCCUUUUUAGCUAUCAAAAUUCCUAACAACAAUAGAUAUAGAAUUACCAAACAAUAUAUCAAAAUCUGGAAACUCAAUCAACCUCCAACAAUGGACUUGUAAACAUUUACAGAAGAGCUGCAAAAUCGUAGUUGUAGUACAACAAAACCGCACUCACCUCCGCGUCUCUCUCCGAUCACAUCCCCCUUUCCCUUUCUUCCCUAACCCACCUCUGGGAACUCUCCCAGAGCCAACAACAGCUCGUUGACGAAAUCCCGCUUGUUAUUGGAAGUUUAACGAACCUUGUCACUCUCGACCUUCUUCAACAUUUUCUCA
Molecule: long non-coding RNA, 5811 nt
Filed under: Linum usitatissimum (flax)
Lineage: Eukaryota; Viridiplantae; Streptophyta; Magnoliopsida; Malpighiales; Linaceae
Description: long non-coding RNA (LUSI_LNC007235)
Source: RNAcentral